CAAGGAUUCCCCUAGUAACGGCGAGUGAAGCGGGAAGAGCUCAAAUUUGAAAUCUGGCGGUCUACGGCCGUCCGAGUUGUAAUCUAGAGAGGUGUUUUCCGUGCCGGACCGUGUACAAGUCCCUUGGAACAGGGCGUCAUAGAGGGUGAGAAUCCCGUCCAUGACACGGACUACCGGUGCUCUGUGAUACACCUUCAAAGAGUCGAGUUGUUUGGGAAUGCAGCUCAAAAUGGGUGGUAAAUUCCAUCUAAAGCUAAAUACAGGCGAGAGACCGAUAGCGAACAAGUACCGUGAGGGAAAGAUGAAAAGAACUUUGGAAAGAGAGUUAAACAGUACGUGAAAUUGUUGAAAGGGAAACGCUUGAAGUCAGUCGCGUCUGCCAGGACUCAGCCUUGCUUCUGCAUGGUGCAUUUCCUGGUGGAUGGGCCAGCAUCGAUUUUGGUCGCCGGACAAGGGCGGGAGGAAUGUGGCAGCUUGCUGUGUUAUAGCCUCCCGUCGUACACGGUGGUUGGGAUCGAGGACUGCAGCACGCCUUUGGUCGGGGUUCGCCCACGCCACGUGCUUAGGAUGCUGGCGUAAUGGCUUUAAACGACCCGUCUUGAAACACGGACCAAGGAGUCUAACAUGCCUGCGAGUGUUUGGGCGUUAAACCCAGGCGCGUAAUGAAAGUGAAAAGUUGGGACUCUUUAGUGAGGCACCGACGCCCGAUCCUGACGUUCUCUGACGGAUUUGAGGUAGAGCAUGUAUGUUGGGACCCGAAAGAUGGUGAACUAUGCCUGAAUAGGGUGAAGCCAGAGGAAACUCUGGUGGAGGCUCGUAGCGAUUCUGACGUGCAAAUCGAUCGUCAAAUUUGGGUAUAGGGGCGAAAGACUAAUCGAACCAUCUAGUAGCUGGUUCCUGCCGAU
RNAcentral lists this ribosomal RNA (905 nucleotides) under Heteroradulum kmetii. RNAcentral's name for it is "eukaryotic LSU rRNA". It matches the Rfam family "Eukaryotic large subunit ribosomal RNA", at positions 69 to 965 of the family's 3401-position model. Lineage: Eukaryota; Fungi; Basidiomycota; Agaricomycetes; Auriculariales; Auriculariaceae. The record is from RNAcentral.